GGUAAUUUGAGCGGUGACGGGUCGGUCCUCGCGCGCCUCCCUGGGUCCCUGCACCUAGUUGGAGGGGACUGAACGACAACGGGGCGCUACUCAGGCAACCUGGGGGACUCCCCCAAGGGCUGUCAGGCUUCAGCUGGGAGCCGAUGCAACACCCCAGCGGGGAGGGGAGGUCGGCCCAUUCUAAUCCCGACGUGUCCUUGGUCCCAGGCGCUCGGAGCAGCAUCUGAGAGGGCUCACUCUGAUCAUCAGCUGCACGUUAAGCCACAAACCGGCGUCGCUUCGGCGUUCCGGAACCCAGGCCUGGGGGCCGCGGGGAUUGCCUCUGCGUGCAACUCCGGAAAGUUUCAAGGGGUCCCCCGACUGCACAGGUCCGGAAAUCGGCUUUGAUAUGGAACUACUCCGCUCUAGCCUGGAAAGGAGACCCGCGCACUCCUCUCGCAGCUAAUUUCGGAUCAUUAAUUUAAUCGGAAAUGAGGUAACCAGUGUAGGAGACAGAGAAAGCAACCGGAGCAUCAAAUGGCAGUUCUCGAGAAUCGACGAGGAACUUAAAUCUGGACUCAGGGUUUCAGUGCGGUCUCCGACUCCCACCACCCCGCCCCUCCGCCUGUCUCGCCGCCAGGUGUGACCUCCACGCGAAGGAAUCUUCUUCGGAUGGGUGCACCUUGCCAACAGGUGUGGCACCUGGAGGACUAGGAGGCGCCUCCAGACUAAGGGCGCUCAGUGCGGCGUUCUUGUUGCAGAUGAUUCUGGAAGGCCGGUAGGUGUCGGGCGACAUUUGACCUUCUUCAGGUGCUUAGAACUAAGUGUCUGGAAACAUGAUCCUUUCGCGUAAGUUUCUUUCUGAAAGCCACCAAUCUUGACUGUAAGCUGUAUUUGAGAGAUCUUUUGGCUGAGUUUACUUAUGACCUAACGGUUAGUCACCAACUGAGGCAGGGCACAGGAUGACCAAAAAAAAAGUGUCAGUUUUUACACAACUCUGGCCUGCAAGAGCCUACGUGCUUCAUAAAUAAAAAUAAACAUACGAGCGAGGAA
RNAcentral lists this long non-coding RNA (1032 nucleotides) under Homo sapiens (human). Lineage: Eukaryota; Metazoa; Chordata; Mammalia; Primates; Hominidae. The record is from RNAcentral.